UACGGGGGGGGCAAGCGUUGUUCGGAAUUACUGGGCGUAAAGGGCGCGUAGGCGGCCAUUCAAGUCGGGGGUGAAAGCCCAGGGCUCAACCCUGGAAUUGCCUUCGAUACUGUUUGGCUAGAGACCGGAAGAGGUUAGUGGAACUGCGAGUGUAGAGGUGAAAUUCGUAGAUAUUCGCAAGAACACCAGUGGCGAAGGCGGCUAACUGGUCCGGUUCUGACGCUGAGGCGCGAAAGCCAGGGGAGCAAACGGG
This 253-nucleotide ribosomal RNA is filed under the name uncultured bacterium. RNAcentral's name for it is "partial 16S ribosomal RNA". It matches the Rfam family "Bacterial small subunit ribosomal RNA", at positions 524 to 776 of the family's 1533-position model. The record is from RNAcentral.